Long non-coding RNA from Anas platyrhynchos (mallard), 1181 nucleotides. RefSeq lists it as uncharacterized. Lineage: Eukaryota; Metazoa; Chordata; Aves; Anseriformes; Anatidae. The record is from RefSeq and is a predicted model, not a curated record.
UGCAAUUCUUGCCAGCUGUCCUAAAUUAGAGAACUGUGCUUCAGCCCAAAAAAACCUUCCUUCCAAUUACUCUAGCAAAGCAACUGUUUAUAUGUGGUCAGGCAGUGAACCAGACCGCACCAGUGCUGCUAGACUAUAAAAAAAAAAAAAAAAAAAAAAAGCGUGGAUUACUUGGGCCAGUUCCCAGUCAGGUUUAUCAGGAAGCUCUAGAGAUGGUGACACUGGCACAGCUGAGUGGGAGGAGGUAUGAGCUGCUGAGGGCGUGAGUGAAGAGAAUGCUGCGUAAGCUGCCUUGCUGCCAAGGAAAAUGUCUUUGCAAGGGAGAAAGAAGAAAAUCAACACUGCAUCUUUGAUCUUUGCUCAAAUGAUCGAUGGAUUCAUUUCAUGUUAACUGAAGCAGCAGCCAAUCAAGAUUAAAUUAAGUAAAGGGCCAGACAUAGCUACUCGUGGGAGGCCGUCAUCAGAAAGCGUCACUGCUAUUGAGUAACACUGCUAUAGCGGAAACAGCGCAUAUUCUGGAGUUCUAGUCUGUGUUUAGAUGGAUCAGAAAUCCACACUUGAACAAAACAGAGCUUUCCAAAGAAUUUGUAAGUUCUUUCUGCAAAGAUAAAAAUCAAACAUCUGGCAUACAGCUAUGUCCCUUCUGCAUGGCAACAACCCCACUCUUCUCCCUCAAAGUAAUUAAAUUCUCAAAGCAAUUAAACACUUUGGCUCAUUCUGGAUGCUGAAAAACAUAAGAAUUAAAUAACUCUACCUUGACAUGAAACUCAUCAUCCAGCAAAAUAUUCUGGGUUUUCAAGUCAUGGUGCAGCAAUGGAGGAUUCAUGUUGUGCAAAUAGUUUACUCCCAAAGCAAUUUCAUAAAGAAUGCGGUAUCUCAGGCACCAGGGAACGUCGGGAUACAUAUCUUUCUGCCAAAAUAAAACCACAAAACCAGAAUAUAAUCCUCUGUUCUGAUCUGACAAGAUAACACAAAGGCUUUCAUAAUAAUAAGAAAGUGAGUUGGACAAGCAGUAAUCUUUUAAAACAUAUAUUACAUUAACUGCACAUUGAUACUGGCUAGCUGUUAAAACAAAUAUAUAAAUAUUAAUCAUGCAUGUUAUGAUGUUACACUUCCAAUCCCCUAACAUUCAUACAGUUCAUGACUGCUAUACAUAAUUUGUAUAUAGGACAUUUACCGCA